RNAcentral lists this ribosomal RNA (593 nucleotides) under uncultured Chaetothyriales. RNAcentral's name for it is "eukaryotic LSU rRNA". The stretch from base 230 to 382 matches the Rfam family "5.8S ribosomal RNA". The record is from RNAcentral. Lineage: Eukaryota; Fungi; Ascomycota; Eurotiomycetes; Chaetothyriales.
UCCGUAGGUGAACCUGCGGAAGGAUCAUUACCGAGUUAGGGUGCCUCGUCGCGCCCGACCUCCAACCCUUUGCUUACUUGACCUAUUUUGUUGCUUCGGCAGGCCCGCCGCCCGGAAACGGGUGGCCGCCGGGGGCGUUUCACCGCCCCGGGCCCGCGCCUGUCGAUGGCCCUAUUAAAACUCUUGUCAAAACGUGUCGUCUGAGUUUAUCUAAACAAAUUAAAACCAAAACUUUCAACAACGGAUCUCUUGGUUCUGGCAUCGAUGAAGAACGCAGCGAAAUGCGAUAAGUAAUGCGAAUUGCAGAAUCCGUGAGUCAUCGAAUCUUUGAACGCACAUUGCGCCCUCUGGUAUUCCGGAGGGCAUGCCUGUUCGAGCGUCAUUAUCACCCCUCAAGCCCGGCUUGUUGUUGGAUGCAGCGCUUAUCCCGCUCCUCCCAAAGAUAAUGACGGCGUCUGCGACGACUCCUGUACACUGAGCUUUCGGGCACGUACACGGCUAGAAGUCCAGACCCGGUCGCCGUCCCCCCCCGCGGGGACACCCAUUACCACAAGGUUGACCUCGGAUCAGGUAGGAAUACCCGCUGAACUUAA